UAGGGAAUCUUCCACAAUGGGCGCAAGCCUGAUGGAGCAACACCGCGUGAGUGAAGAAGGGUUUCGGCUCGUAAAGCUCUGUUGUUAAAGAAGAACACGUGUGAGAGUAACUGUUCAUUCGAUGACGGUAUCUAACCAGCAAGUCACGGCUAACUACGCGCCAG
RNAcentral lists this ribosomal RNA (164 nucleotides) under uncultured bacterium. RNAcentral's name for it is "partial 16S rRNA". It matches the Rfam family "Bacterial small subunit ribosomal RNA", at positions 355 to 511 of the family's 1533-position model. The record is from RNAcentral.